RNAcentral lists this transfer RNA (82 nucleotides) under Deltaproteobacteria bacterium. Its description in RNAcentral is "tRNA-Leu". It matches the Rfam family "tRNA". From Rfam's summary of the family: Transfer RNA (tRNA) molecules are approximately 80 nucleotides in length. Their secondary structure includes four short double-helical elements and three loops (D, anti-codon, and T loops). Lineage: Bacteria; Pseudomonadati; Myxococcota; Myxococcia. The record is from RNAcentral.
GGCCGGAUGGUGGAACUGGCAGACACACCGGGUUCAAACCUCGGCGCCGAAAGGCUUGUGGGUUCGACUCCCACUCCGGCUA